CUAGCCCACCUUUAAUCGAUGUUCGAUGUUGUGGUCGAGUAGUGAAUACUCGAGUGUAAAGCGACUUCUCUAAGGGAAGAUGGAUUACAAGAAAAAAGAGCUCUUUUCCCGUCCGUCUCCAGUCAUCCGACACCCUGAGUGACUCCGAGUCACAGGUGUGUGAAUCAAAGCCCAACAACCUUUUGUCGCCCUCUGAGCAGCUUCCACUGGAUUCUUGUGAGUUAUAACCUUUGCAUUCAGGGACUUCAAAGGCCCGAGGCGCUGUGAGGAGAACUGUAUUAUGUACCGAAUAUGUGAGGAGAAAUAGUCAGACAGCAUUCACUUUUAAAAGACUCGUGUAAGAAAACAUUCAGACAUGUCAGUGCUUUUAGCUGUUAGCACGUUCUUAGCCUUGAGCUAAUGUCACCGCAGUUCUUCCUGUUAUGUCGGCGGCUUGUUAACCAUGCUCCAUUGUUGUAGUUUUGACAGCUGGUUAAGUUGUCACACGGCAGCGCUGCGGCUCUGUGUUAUGUGACAGGAUAAGAAAAAAGAUUUAAUGCUGCAUCUGUUUAACAGAGUGCUAUCAGAGUUAAUUGGUUUUAUAUUUCACCACAUGUUCCACCAACGUAUGUGCUUGUCUUAUGAAUAACCCUUUGUGAAGAGUUUAAAUAUUGGCGCUUUUCUGGUAGCUUUGUUAAUGGUUAAUAAAUACAAUAAUUUAGUUAUAAUGUGGGUGAUGAAUAUGCAUGAGUCCUUUGCCUUUUAUAGGCCGUAAAGUCUACAGUUUAAGGAGGAAAAAAAAUCUGUGUUGCUGUUUAAUUCAACAGCUAAAGCAGAAGAAACUGCAAGAGGGUGAAAAACAGCAGAAAAAAAGGUUUUUUUUACGUCAGUACUGGGGUUAACCAAAUUAUGAUACCAUCCAAACUCGAAAAAAUGAGUCAUGCAGAGGUAGUGAGCCUGAUUUUGUUUUAAAAUUUUUUGGAGUCCAAUAAAGAGCUGUGUAAUUUAUCAGUAUUGAUUAAAAAAAUGUAAUGUUUUAUGUAAUAGAUAAAAACUCAACUUUUUAACUGAUUAAAAGUGUUUUUGACCUUCGUAGUAUUUAUUAGCUACCCUCAUCUGUGUUUGUAGUAUUUUUGUGUUUUUCUGCUCUUUUUUUUUUUUGUUUGUUUGCCAACUCGCAGCAUUUCUUUUUCUGUUCAGUCUCACAGCUCCCAUAUCAGCCAAUUGUUUAUGUGAAAUGAAAGCUUCAAGUGAGAGAAUCAUCCAAAACCUGAGCUCAAAGAACUGUGAGUGUCAGGGGCGGAUUUAGGGUGACACCAGGGGUGACCCUGCCCCAAAAUCCUGCACUAUGAUUGGCUGUCUGCUUCGUGUAACAAUCAAUAAUUUUUGCAAUCAGAUGUGAUUUAAUUUUAAUUCUUUUGAGUAUCGCUCAUUUUCAAACAAAUAUCUUUUUUAUAUCCAUUAAGAUUUAAAGUGGGAAAAUUCAGCUAUUGUUUACUGACAUUAUGAGAGACUUACCCUUAAUUUCCACCGCAUCCGGAAUGGCUACGAAAAGGUCAUAUCCGUCUUAAAAAAAGGUCGUAGCUGAUCGUAAUCAUCAAAGUUAACAUGUCAAUUUUCCACCAGCUUCUUUCUGUUGCACUGCGGAUUGCUGGACUGCGCAGCUGAUCACAAGAGUUCUAUUUUUUACGGACGCCGGAGCAUGCCGGAUAAAUUCAGCACAGAUUAACCCGUGCUGGAAAAGAAGUCGGGCACAGACACGAAAUAAAACAGGCAGAUUGUAUUUCACAGCAUGCAAACGGGCGGGGAAAAACAAAUGAAAGGUUUUUAGGCGGCAUUUCAUCCCGAUGACACCAUGGAUGAGGAGAUGCUGAUUUUAGAAGUCUAGGGGUGGACACAAUCUUCUGCUUAUAUUGUUAGCCUAUGUGGCUAAAGACAACUUGUUGUAAUUCUGAUUGCAUGUGAAUCUACAGGUUCUUGUGAGUUCUUGUGAUUCCUGUUGUUCGUCAUCCGCCACUAAAUUCGCCUCACAUACGGAUCUGAUAGGAAAUGGUGCCGCUGUUCUGGAUCAGAGCUGUUCCUGAAAAUCCCGGGUUAAGACUUACAAAAAGCGACAUAUCCCCAUCCCGAUCAGACUUACAUUCAUUCAUCAUAAACAAACCUGAAUACAUUUUCUGUCACUUAUAAUCAAAAAAACAUCUGAUUCCUUUCACUUUACUUUGCUAACUUCAUGCUGCUUUGAGAAGCUGAUGACAAGACUAAUAAAAUUAUUCUGCUGCUUUUAUAUGACCUGUAAAAAUAAACAACACCAUCAGAGGGAAGAUUGAUUAUUUUGAUGGUUAUUUUUAAUGCCUGCAGCUGCUGCUGUUGUCGGGUAGGUGUUAGACGAGGUAACAGCAGGCAGCCUGUCACGUCCUGUCUUUGAAUUUUCCAUUACGAUGAGUUAUCGUGAGCUGCAAGUUUCUCGAAGUCGGGAUUCAUGACCGUUUCUUAAACAGCAGAAUUGUUCACACCUGUGCUCUUACAGUGAUGAAUGGUGCCCACAUGAGUUUCAGGCUAGCACCAGUUUGUCCUAAUCAUCACAGAUAACGCCCCCUCCUACGCCCAUAGAGGACUCGCACACAAAAAUCACACAAACACACACAUAUCUAAAAAGUGCAAAUUUAAAUCCAAACCAAAAGCUGACUGGACUCUGAGUGAAAACAUACAGUAGUAGUUUUGAAACCGAGCGAGCGCCGCUGGAAGUGAAACACAAACAGACUGAUUUAUAUUAAUGAGCAGUACGAAUAUUUGAUGCAAAAAAACAAGAUACAUUUGAUACUAUCGCUGGUUCAGAGGAGGCUUUAAUGAGAAAUGGAUGCAUGGAUGGAGGGAAAGAAAAGCUUGAUCUGGAAUGCGAGGGGAAAAUUGAGACAGAGGGGGGUCUCGCUUUUGAAUGAGACCCAUUAUAGGCUGCUGCAGUAAAACAGUUGAAAUAUGAUCGCUCAGCAUGAAACAGUCAACUUAUUGUCUGUAACGUAUAUUUAAUUUUUUUCCAACAUGUAAUCUUGUACAUAUUAUUUAAAUAUUUACUAUAUUAUUGUGCAUUAAAUGGAUUUCAGAUACUGUAGUUAAUGCUGCCCUUAGAGACUCAAUGGAAGAAGCAUGUAGAGAUUAUAGAGCAAGGAUGGAAAGUUUGGGUUUGUCCUGUAGAAGAAAGUGGGUCGUAGAGCAGGAUCAACUAUCUCAUGACUGGGAGGAUUGGAAGUGUGUGGACAGAGUUUUGCGAAAGGCAAUGAAGGAGAAGUCUGAUAAAACAGUCAAACAAGUCAGUGGAUAUAGAUAACAUGAGACAUGAGCUCAGUCGGGGGCCGAGACAAAGUUAAAGAGAAAAUCCAUCAGCUCCUCGCUCGCUCUCUUUUCUUUCCAAACUUUCUUCAUUGAAAUGGAAGGUGGGCAGAGCUACGGUCGAGCUCUGGUCUCAACAGGCGGCCUCUCAUCCAGGCCUGACUUGUCUGUACUCUUCCUUACAUCCUUUUUUUUUUUUUUUGCUCUUUCCUUCUUUCUUUGUGAAAAUGGGGGGUGUAAGGGGAGGUAGAGCGUACAGCCUAACACAUCAGGGCUGAGCUUUAGCCCUAAAAAAACUUCUUAGACUGUCUUUUCAUGGAGAAAGUUGUAGGCCAAGACAAAGUUAAAGAAAAAAAAACUAUUUCUUUUCUCUCUUCCUCCCUUUUUUCUCUUUCAUUGUUCAUUUGAAAAGUGGGUGGAGGCGGAGCAUACAGGCAGGAUUGAGUUCCAGCCUGAACAAGCUUCUCACACUAGCUCACCUUUAACAUCUCCUUAGAGCACCUUCUCUAAUUUGUUGUUUCUUUCACUCUACUCUUUUGAAAACAGUGUCGGGGGAGGUAGAGCGUACGGGCAAAUUCACCAAAGUUGGCAAAACGUGCCUCUCACUCAGUAUGUUUACAUGACACUCGAGAAAACUGAAUUAUCGCCUUACUCCGAUGAAGACCGCCAAACUGAAGUGCGUGGAAACACAUUAGUCCGACAAUAAUCGGAGUUUGAGAACUCUGAUUAAGACACCCAGAUAAUGCGAUUGGAAUUCGAUUUUCUCUACCAUGUAACCAGCGUAGUCGUAGUAUGAUUGGACAAUGCAUGUGUGCGUACGCCGUGCCCCCGUAACCCCGGAACAAAAACACUGGAGAAGAAGUGGCGCUAUCAUUUAAAGAACUUUUGAAAGAAUCUUCACUUUUGAAAUGAAGGGGAGAGUGCCGUUAUGCUUUCCCCCCUGAAAGAAAUGGACAUUUUAAAGUAUACGGACAGUCACAAAUGAAGAAAGGAGACACCUUUAAAAAAGUCCAGAAACAGCGCCGCUGAAAAGACCCAUAUCGCCCCCUAGUUUUGGCGAGUGAGGACAUGUUAACGUCAAUCAUUCGAAUUCCUCAGCUGCAUGUACGUGGACAAGGAAAGAAGUCAGAUUUGGCUAAAAAAAACGAACUACAAGCGUAGUCCGAUGAAGCUGUGCAUGUAAACGCACUGACUGACUUAACUGUCCUUAUCCUACAUCUGUUUUUCCUCCUUUCCUCUCUUUCUGAAUUGAGUAAGGGGAUAUAAAAUGUACAGCCAACCCAAAACAGCCUGCGUGCAUCCCCGUCCUCUUCCAUAUCUUUUUUCGCUUUCGUCUUCUUCCUCAUGAAAAUCUGAGAGUUGUGGGAGGUAGAACUUCUUUGUCCUCUAUCUAACACCUCUUUCUCCGCUUUUUUCCCUCCUUUCUCUCUUCGCGUGUGAGCAGAGAAGAAGCUGAGAGGUAACACGUGUUCGUUUCAGAUUGCUUUAUUACCGACAUCUCCUCCUGCGGUGGACUGUCAUAAUGCUGUUUAACUCGGGGUAUUAUAAAAACUUCUGACUCGUCUCGGAGUUCCGCUUUGUGCAUGAAUCACACAAGGUCAGCAGCUACGCCCCCUGUUCGCGGCGGCGGACUCCGCGAUCCUUCAGAAGACGUAAUUGCCUGUUUGAGCAACAUAAAAAAAAAAAAAAAAAACAGCAAACACCUACAAGGACAUAAACACAAUCCUGUGACAGCAAAUGUCAGGCGCACAGGAAAAAAACGGAGUCUCGGCAAAUGAGUGCAUUGUUGAAGGGAAAGUGUAGCUCAAAGUGAAAUGUCACAUAAUUUCUAGUUUUCUUUCAGGGUUUCCAAAAGGCACAUUGGCAUGAGGCUCAGUUCUCAGCGUAAGUCAUGCAGACUGUGAAGAGAGAAAGAGCGAGAUGGUAUUUAAAGCUAAGAUGCUUUCUGGAAACCGAGCCAAGGACUGUGGAGGAAAAGCAGAAGUUUGUGCUUCUUAAGUAGAUUAUUGCGCUCGGUUCGAGAAAAUAAAAGUCCAGUAAGGUGCAGGUGGACCGAAUUCACCUCAAAGAUCAAGUGUAAGAAAAAAAAAAGCAGGUGCUCUGUGUCCAUUUCGGCUUCUGUGAUUCACUGUGUGAUCCUGAGCGAGAGAGAACGGCCUGGCCUUAAAGGAGAGUGAGGUAAAUAGAGUGAGGCAGAUAGAGAGAGAGAAGAGGGGGGAGAAAGAGAGCGUACGCUUCGGUGUUUCUGAGGUUGAAAUGAGAGAUGGAGAAACAGAGCUCGGAGGCAGUCGGGUGUAAUACAGCAAUAAUCGAGUGGACGGAGAAACACAGGUACAGCUGGGAGAUCUUGGAGCAAAAGAAAUCACCAAAUCUAAAAUGAAAACUGCUAAAUCUCGUGUCUUGUGAGCGCGGCUUUAUAACCGGGGCUGUAUUCGGAUCACAGAAGAGUCCAGGCAGAUUUGAGUAUGAGCUAACGCUGCGUGUGCAUCCUAACAUUAAAAACAAGCUUCUGGGUUUGAUGAGUCAAAUACCAACUGAACAUUUCUCCCCCUUCACGCGUCCACUCAGCUGUGCAGGUCUCAGCUGGUUUGUUAUGUGUUUAUUCCUCUCAACAAUUGGGUAUCCGCACUGAUUUAUCCUUGUGCAAAGUUGCGGGGUAAUGCCGCUUGUAAUUGCAAAUUCCCUGUCACAACAAGUUUUGUCGAGAUAAAAUAAGAAAAAAAAAGCAGAGUAAAUAUCAGGGCAGCAUUUGGUCCGGAUCUGGAUGGCUUAAUAUAUUUUGAAAUGAUUUACCGAAACAUCUUCAACCGCUGCAGUCUGCAUCAGCAGCAGCCCCGGUCUCCCAUCGUCUCCCAUCAUUGCGCGAAUGAGUGGAAUUCAUUUUGCCAUCAAAUGUCCACAUGUGGCUGAAGUGAACGAGAGCUGUUUGUACAGAGGAAGACGCAGCAGGGGGGGGAGGAGGAAGAAGAGUAUCCUGCCGAGUGACAGAAUGAAAGAGGGAAAUAAAAAUGAGGGCAAACCCAGCGGCUUCCAGGGAGCUUUUUCAAACGGAGGGUUUUGCACCUUUCAUAAGACCUACGGCGUCAUGCUAAUCCCUGUUCUCUCAUCCAAACAACGCUGUAAUCAACACUUAUAUCAUCUUACUUAUACACAGUAAUUAGAGUCUGAAGUGCCUGGCAUUUUCGAAACAAGAUGCUGAUUAAAUAAUUAGUCUGCAGAACAGCAUUUGUUUGCAAUAGCUGACGUUGUUUGAAAGGAAAAUGUCAAUUAUUUCCAGGGUUUGAGGCUGUAAGUUAAUAAAAGAACGAGGUACGAAUAGGUCAUUAUGAACUCUUGGAGACUACGCAGCUAUUUUUCUGGAAUUUUACAGAUAAAAGUAGCGGUUUGCAAACUGAAGGCCUUUAAAGUGGAACUAAAGUUGAAUAAAUCUGAUCUGUCACGUCAGUAAACAAACAGAGAGCUUCCACUCAGGCACAGCUAUCAGUAUUCAGGUUAGGAAGUGUCGUUCAGACAGCAAAACAACAAGUAAUGGAGGGAAAGAAGAACAGGCCACGCUUAUCAGGCAGAGUCAUCAGCGGAUGGAAAUCAGUCAAAACCAAAGUCAAGAAAGUAGACUAAAAGAGCAGACUCACAGCUGAGUUAACUGUUCCUUCACCGGGAAGGUGGGCGAGAACUUGGAGGGGAUAACACCUGAAAACUUUUCUUGUUAGGGAACAGACCGAGAAGUUUACUGCCUGUGGUGAUCUUUGUGACUGCUGGGAACAAAGAAACUUUAGUUGAUCCUACGCCGCAGACGUGUAGGUGAGAGUCUCAUCCUGCUUUAUUUAAAGGUACAGCGUGUAGAAAUGGGGAAAGUUAGGAUGUUCCUGCCCUGCAUUAAAAAUGAUCCCCCAUUUUUUCAAGUCUGUUCUGCAUAACAACAGCCGCUCUCUUGACAAUUCCCUUAACGAUUCCUUUCUUAAAAAACGGUCCCAUGAGAUCCAGUCUACGCGAACGGGAACAGAGACAGAGAAAAAAACAUGGUGGACGGUAACGAAAAGUAGGCAGAAAUGAGCUAAAGCGUGGCUUAAUUUUACUAAGAAAGACGAUUACAGAGUGAUAACAUGCAAAGGUGGAAACAGCAGCAAUAUGCUUAAACAUUUGUCAACGAGGCACGGCAUCAAAUAUAAGGAGUCACAUGUAUUUGAUGCUCUCCGCCGGUCGUCAGCACUGCAUUGAAGGUACAUAUGACAGGGUGACCAUGCGUCCUCUUUUACCCGGAUAUGUCAGGGGAGUUUAUAAAAUCCUUCAAAUGUCCAGAAUGUGUGUCCAUUUAUUAUAAAACAGUGCGGUGCAUCAGUGCUCUCUGCAGCUCUGCCCCUCCACUCACUUCUAAGCAAAGCAACUGACGCGACGCACGAAUGCGCUGUCUUUGGGAAUUCAGGAUAAUAUGCGUUUAACUGAGUCAAAAGCGCAUGAAAAACACAACCAAAAUUUCGCGCACAACUUCCGCCCCGCGUUGUAGUGUCCUCUUGUUGGGGAUUCUGAACAUGGUCACCCUAACGUAUGUCCCGUGUUAACGUAAGCACAAUGCAUGCCAGAAAUGCAGUACAAAAAGCAUUUUUGUUUUAUUAUUUUUAGACUCUCGUUCAAGGUGGUUUACAUCUUUUUCUGUUAUCAGACUCAAAAAAUUUUUGAGUUAAGAGAAAAAACUAGUAGGCUACCUUUUUUUUAAAUGAAGAAGCACACUGAUGUGGGAAUUGUUAAAGGAUUGAAUCGAUAAGCAGAAUUGAUAAUGGCAUUGAUAAAGUCAUAUCAAUUCCAUCCCUAGGUACACUAAUUUAAACAUACAUAACCGCGGCACAUGUAGUGAAUCCGCAGAGCUGAUACUUAAGUUUGUAGUCUACAUCCGCAAGUCCGAAUAAAUUAUGCCCUCAAAAUGGUUUGGUAAUUUAAAAAAAAACUGAUGUGUUAAACGGAUCUGAUUGUAUCAUUAAAAACAUAUAAUAACGAUACAUGUCAAUAUGAAUUCAAAACUGCAUUCACUCUCAGCUACUCUACCGGUGCACCGACACCUUGCAUGUGCGUUGCCACGGUUAAUCUUCUCAUCCUUAGUGUAGAGCAGUGCUGUCUCCACCCGAGUACACUUUAAGAAGUAAAAAGAAACUUUCGGAGUGGGACUUUAAACAGAGCUGGUUAUUGGCACACACCAGAGGAGGUCUCCAGAAGAGAAAUGCAGGUUUGCUCAACAACAACUUCAUGAUGCAAAGCGUCACCUUCUAAUAAAGUAGAGAUUGGAUUAUCAAAGUAAGCAUGCAGGCUCUCAUUUCUGACUGCCCAAUAACAUUAAUAGCAGAUUUCUACAGAUUACCUCAUCAUAGUGUUACCGCUGUGAGGACCUCUAUAAACCCUGACGCCGUGUGUAAACUGCUUGAUUAUUUUCCCAGCAUCUGACAAGCUUUUCAAUAAUUCAGUCCAACAAGAAAUCCUGAAACAGGUUUUAUUGUCUCUGGUACCUUUUAACAACAUCUCACGUACUUGAUGUUUUAUUAAUGCGAGGGUUUUGUCUCCUUGCUUUGGGCAGAAAUGUGAAAUCUUUUCUUCUAUCAUUGACAAAUCUGUCAAUUGUUUCUCUGUUUCGACUAAUUUUUUGAUGUAGAAAACUUCCAUUUGUUUUUCCAAUGGUAUUAAGGUCCUUGGGAACAACGCAAAUAUACAACGCAAACUUUCUAGGGGGAAAAAAGACGCGUCCCGGGUGAAAGCGAGAAGACUGACUGUUCUUCAGUUCUGAUUAGACACUAGUGUUGAGAUGCCUGUCUGUCAUGAUAGCAUGUACUGAGUCAGGGCCAGUACCAGAUAAGCACAUUAAACUGUAAUCCAUAAACGUAAGGUAACAACCGAGACCUAUUGAGUUUGAGACAGUGAAAAUACAUAUGGUAUGUUGUAUGUAAACAGGUUAGCUUAUGAGCUAAAGUUACUUAGCACAGAUGAAAGUUGAAACAAAGACGUUUAUCAAACUGUUAAAGCACACAAACCAUCGUCAUGUGAGAAAUCCGAUGCUAUGACUCUCCACAAGUUGUCCUUCAGGUUGUUAUCCUUGUAAUAUUUGUGUUUUUUAUCAAAAAGCACUCUGUUCUCCGACACGUAAAUGUUGGAUAUACCGGUGAAUCUGACGUCGCAGAUUCACGCAAUCUGAUUGGUCAGAAGUGGACACACAGUAUGCGAAACUUUAGAAAAUUCGACCGUGACACGAAAAAAUAAAUGCCACAAUAUCGCAGGACAGGAAAACGUUAGCCUGGCUGGGCCAUCCAGUUGCGUGAAUCACUUGCUGUUCCUUCCCACAACAGUCUGGACUUCGGCCAAUUGGGAGCCCAAAAAGUGGGCGGGAGUACUUUCCUUGAUAGACAGACUACUGUAACCAAUCGCCGUAACCAAACAUCUGAUGUCAUCACAGUGCGCAACUGUGUUCCCUGCUGGGCUCUCAAGCAUCAAGUAAAGGUUUGGUAAUAUUUCAACGUGUGCGAGCAAACAAUGUCUUUUACGUCUUCUUCAGCAGAUAUAAACGAUUUCUGCCGACUUUGCAAAGUCAACUGCAGCGUUAACGGCGUUCUGAAUGAACGGCGCUUUGAAAACUCCUGCAGCAUGUGUUAGACGUCACCAUCUACACAUGGACCAAUCAGGGGCUGCCUUUCCCUGUUGUCUGGGUAACAGUGGAAACACAGUCACUGAUUGGCCUGGUUAUUUUCUGAUUUCUAAUACUCGCUUCCAAUUGGCCGAAGUCCAGACUGUUGUGGGAAGGAACGGCAAGUGAUUCACGCAACUGGAUGCCCCAGCCAGGCUAGGAAAACGUCGCUGAUGUGAACGCUUGUAUCGACAGGAUCCGGGUUUGAAAAAAAAUUUUUGACGUCUGAAAUAAUUGCAUGAAACUCGCAACUCCAGCCUGAGUAGAUAUCCAGGGAGUGACCAGAUCAUUUAUUUUCUCUAAACAAGUGAAUAUAUUUCAAUAUUUGUUGAAACUAAUUCCAGGCAGACAACCAAUUAGUCUGAAAUUCCCUUCAGCUCCACAGACACCGCAUCCAAUUAUCAGGAUAAGGUGGUUUAAGUGAAAAUAUUGAAAGCGGUUUCUUUUAAAAACUGCUUCAGGUUCAACUCUGAAAAACUUUUGAAAUAUGCAACGCCUAUUCUUUAUGCAUUUCCGAUAAAAAAAUUACAUUUAAGCUGACUAAUUGGGUGAAAAAAGUAAACGGUUGAUGAAUCUCAGGAAAGGGGCAACAUGUCAGAAAAUGUCAAACAUUCAAUAGGCUGAACAAUGACUCCAUUAAGCAAAGAAUAAUUAAGAGAUCAAUCAUUGCGGGACAAAAGUGAUCGCGCAGCACUUCGUCUGAUCUCUUCAGAAACUCAAAAGUGGUGAAAUAUACUCGAGAUACUCGAGGAGAAGGACAAGCACUCAGAGAGGAGCCCUCGCUCAGACGCUUUUGUCUCUUUGAUAAGAUAAACGGCCCACUAAAGAUGCCACCUUCAAUACACCAAGACUCGAGGUAUUGUGCUCUUUCCUUCGGCCCCUAUUGGCCCUCAAAUCCAAAUCAUGGACUAGAUCGGCAGCAGGAUCCAACACAUCAGCAUGUGGGCAUCUCCUUUCACCGUCUUCUUCAGACCCACGAGUGAGGUCGGGGUCAAGAUGCUUCUUCAGACGAGAGCUUAUCUUAGUUAGACUGUGCGCUCCACCUCCCCCUUGUGCCUCCAUUUUUUUAAAGUAUAAGAGGAGAAAGAAGGAGAUCAUCAUCAUCAUCAGUAGCAGCAGCAGCAGCACAGGCAGGAUUUUAAUGGAGGACCGCGGCUUUACCCGCAUUAUCCAAUCAAUCAAUCAGGCGCGGCGUUUUUCCACAGCAUCGAGAUAAAAAGAGUCUGAGUGGCAGCGGAGUAACGUCCCACUCAUGAACUGUGCACACCGCCAUCCUCUGGGUUGUGUUUGCUAUCGUGGCCCCCACUCCCAUUGUCCCUCCAUUGUUAAUGAUAAUGUCAGCGGUAACUGGUGUGUGUCUCUGUGUGUGUACUUUACAGUGUUUGAAGAGUGUGAAAGCCUUUGUGUGCACUUUGUCAUAGGUGUGUGCGUGUGACCAGAGGUGACCCAGUGGUGUCCCUGCUGGUCCCGAGCAGGGAUAACACCCUCUGGAGGCGACACUCAUUAAUCAUCUUAUUCAAAACACACAGAAGCGCAAUCCAUCCUCCCAUCUCUCUCCUCCUCCUCCUCCUCCUCCUGCUCCUCCUCUCCUCUUCCUCCUCCUCCGCUUCACGGCAACGACGCUCCGUAAUGGGGUCACUGCUCCCAUUUAACAGAGACAGACAGACAGGGGGGGAGAGAAAGGAGAGGGAAAAGGGGAAGGGAUGGAGUGUACGUGUAUAGUAACAACGAAGUGAGAUUAAAUAAGAAGUAACGAAGGGGGAAGGACGGCGAGGGAGGUAGAAAUAAUAAAAGAGGGGGGAGGGAGAUGGGGGUAAAGAGGAAGGAAAUAAUUACAGAGGGAGGUGUUUGAAAGUAGGGGCGAUUAAGAGGAGAGGGAGGAGUAAUAGAGUUAGGGGAGAAUAAUAAAAGGGGGUAAAAAAUGUGCUGAAAAACAGUAAAAGUCUUCUGAUUAAUGUGGCAGAAGACGGAAAGGAAAACAUUGUGUUCUGUGGAAAUGUGGAGAAGAAUCUGUAAAAUGUGCUGCUGUGGGGACCCCGCGCUAAUUAUGUGACUCUACCCGUGUGUGUGUGCGUGCGUGCACGUGUGAGUCAUUCCUACGCUGGAGGACAAGCAUGUGUACAUAACCAGCACACAUGAAAAUGCACAAAAGCUCAUAGGAACACAUGCACAAACACACACGCAGCAAGCAAGCAAGCAAGCAAGCGAUGCCAGGGGACCUGAGCAGAAGUAGGUUCCUCCUCCUGCUGCAUUAUUCUCUUUGGAAUGUUGUUUUUAUUUCCUGGUUCGAAACUGUGGUGCAUCGCCCCUGGUUACCCAGCAUCACUCACACUGGCUCGCGCGCACGCGCCGCAGCGCCUCACUCAUCCUCGUCCCAGAACCACUUUCUAGAAAACAGCCUCUGACAGAUGCCCCAAACAAAGAGGAAACUGGGGGCUAAAAACACAUCUGAGCCAGAGAGAAAGCGAUGAUUUCCCCCUCCCGCCUCGACGAGGAGUGCGUGCCCUCGAAAUAACAAGUUCAUUCUGGUUACUGGUGGAGAACUGCUCCCGAGUCAUACCCUCGACCCUUUUGGCGGUGGAGCUUAAGUUAGACAAAUUGGGUAACAUCGGUUUCUGUCUGGGAGUUAGAUCAGAAGAUAUGCUGUACAUCUCUUUUAUUUCAGAGGACUUCAUCUAAAGCUGCAGCAAAUUAGCUCAUCUCAACUUAAACUAGGAACAAACUGGCAACAGCUUUUCUCUUUCUGUCCAGAAAAAAAACACAUUGAAGGAGCCAGACUGAAUCUCUGCCGUGAAGGUAGAAGCUCGAACACACUGCCAUUUCAUUUGCACCUCUGAUACGCCUUGUCUGCAAAGUGUGACCCACAGAGGCGUCAUGGCGGGGCAAAGCCGUUCCUCCAGGAGCUGAUGUGUGGCAUUGGAGCUGUCAGGGUGGAACAGUACUGUGUGUGUGUGUGUGUGUGUGUGUGUGUGUGUGUGUGUGUGUGUGUGUGUGUGUGUGUAUUUGGCCCUCUUGCUGUGUUGCAACGUAAAAUCCGGUAUACUGAUAGUACGCUAGUGUUGGCGUUAUGACGGUAUGUACUGUGUGACGUUAAAUAAGUGUCUACCGGUAGAAAUGUUGCUAUACUGUACUACUGUGUGUAGUUGUCUGCGCUCGCUAACAGGAAAGCCGGAGCGCAUCCCUUUGGGUGCGUUUCUGUAUAUUCACCAGUGUGUCAUGCCAAGUUUGUCCGCUCUGUUUGAUUGGUCAGGUUUGGGUGCUCUCUCUAUAAUCACCAGCACGUCCAGCAGGCUGCUUGGCGAUAGUUUUGAUGAAGAAGAAAUGGCAUCACUGGUGGUGGUCAUGGUGGCUGCAGAGAUUAGUGACAGUACCGAGCAAAUGGAGGCAUCCCAACCCACCCAACAUGAGGAAGAGGAAGAGGAACUUGUAUCGAAAAAGGGCGCGAGUCGCGACAUCAGUUGUCUGGAGAUUAUUCAGAUUUAGAAAAUCCGACAAUGCUCAAAAAACAAUACUAUGCAAAGAUUGUGGACGUCGAAUUGACAUCUAUUCAACGUAUUUUUUCGAUGAUGAGGUACAAAUCUGGACAUCGUUUUAACGUCUAAAAAAGGUCCAAUAAUGACGUCUAAAUCUUGGAUCCAUUUUGCACAUUGUGCCGACAGCUAGAUUUUGUCUUCAGAUGACAUCCAAAUUCUAAACGUCAGAGCGACGUCUAAAAAAGGUCCAAUUUGGACGUCUAAAUUUCGAACCUAUUUUGCACGUUGCACUGACGUCUAGAUGUGGUCUUUGACGGACCGACCCAAUACUGACUUGAUCUGCAUGUCUCUUCGACGUCCGAUGUUUGGUGGGAAAAGGAAAAUGAACAAAUAUGACAGUAUGGUUAUUUUUAAGCCAUUAAUUGAAUUAAUAGGGGGGAAAAAAAAAACUUACCGUGAGAUAAACCAUUGCCGUGAUAUAAAACUGCUUAUUACACUGUGAUCUAAGAUUUUGUUCAUACCGCCCAACAUUCUAGUACGCUGUUUCAGGUUGCAGUGUGCAGGUACAGAGGUGUAGUGAUUUGGAUUUGCUUUCUGUAAGAAGUUUAAGACAGGGCCAUGAGGAAUAAGUGCUUUAGUCAUUCAAAUCGCUCCCAUGUAUAAAACACAUUACAGUUUAAGUGCAUUUCACCGAUUCGAAUGUUGUGAAAUGGGAAUAUUGAGAGAGUACAGGUGGAAAUCAUGAGUGACUUCACAGAAUCACUUUAUGCACUUCAAAGAGUCGUACCGCCUUUUUGUUUUCCUCCUUUUUAUCCCGAGCCAACCUCUUUGUUUCAAUGCCUUUUUCGACAAGCUGUGAAUUUAUCUCUCUUCAACGCGUCUCAAGGCCCGGCGUUCAGAAACGACCCUGACUAGCAUCUAGCCGUAGCGUGUUCAAUAUGCCGCUAGUCUGAGCUGUCACAUUCAGUUCAGUCAGUACAAUACCAGCCGAGUCAAAAUAAGCAGUAUGCAUCGAGUCGAAGCCCAGCAGCAGAUUAUUUAACACCAAGUUAUCAAGUUGUGAUUCUGUCUGUGAGCUGUCUUUUCAUUACUUGGAAGUAACAUGAUGGAAACACCCAGAGGCAGCGCUACCCGUUUAAAAAUGUUCUCGAUAAAGAUUCGUCCGUACAUGCUGCGAAUACCUGUCCAAACACUCACAUAAAGUGGAGAUACUGCGGGAGGAGCGAGGGGAAAGUUCACGCCAGGUACUGUAAAAACAACAGGAGGCUGAUUUAGCCCGCUCAUCAACACCAGCUGUGACAUACGGAUCGUGGAGGUAAUUUCAAACCCUCCCUUUGUGCCUGAUUGCCGCAGUUUGUGUCAAAGAAAGCACAGUGAGCGUGAGCACAAAGACAUGAUACGACUGCGUUAUCAGUGUGCCGUUCUCUACGGGCAGAUAUCAUCAUCUCUGAUGUUUGCACAAAUGUCCCAAAAUCUGCUGAGACGGCAGAGGGAAGGUACGAGAAAAAAAGGCUCCUCAUAACUCCAAAACUCACAGAGAAUCAUCCUAAUUUAAGAUUUCAACAGUAUCAAGGUAGAACCGUGGAAUCAGUCUAUCUCCACAUGUUGCUGCGGUUAUAAACAGCCUCUAGUAAUCAAAUCGAGUCACAGUUGUAGCGAUUGCUAAAACAGUAACUGUUAAACAAUACCGCAUAUAAUCCCCCCUUAUUUAAUUUUCCCACAAGCCCACUGUGUCUCUUCCUUUCUGGUCUUGUGCUCAGCUUGGCCAUAAAUUUUUAGAUCAGACAUGAAAGUUAUAUCAAUUUCUUCAUCCAACUUUCCACAAGAGAAAGAUUCUUCUGCAGCUCUGCAGCCAAAGACUGUUCCUGCCUGUUCCUCGUAGUUGCAGUGAUUUCACACAGCUCAGAGCACAGAGGUCUGGGCAUUUGGUGUCGACUGAGAAAGCUCUGGCUGCCAGAGACGAGGAAGCUAAUUUAUAUAAGAAUGGGAUGGAGAUUAAGACCUCUGAGGGUAUUAUGGAUUUGGGGAAUUAAGCAUAAUGGAUUUCAUGUAGGGCUUUCUUUUACGAGUCCCCGGCUGGAGAGAGGUACGCGGUCUUGAGAGCACAUCUGAUUCAUUCCACGGAAGAAGAACUGGCACGUGCACUCAACCAACAAGCUCUCUUUCACUGCAAACACACACACACAAUCAUGCACGCUUCCUCUUAUGCCCGCAUUUAUACAAACAGCAGCUCCCUCCGAUGAGCCAUGGCUCCCAAAAUGGCUUUUGUCAUCCCCAAGUGUGUAUUUAUGAAGAUUUCACAGUUAUAUUUCAUGCUGCUCCGGUUUGUGAAACACAGGUUAGUGGAAAUCAUCGAAACCACAAACAAAUGUAACACACAGUAUGCUUUAACGCCGCACCACUGCGAGUGUAAUAACAGGCCGGGUUUUCAAAACCUCUGCAAAGUUCUCAGGCGGAAACUAUCUUAUCUUUAGUCACGAUGAAUUUGAGGUAAACCGUAGGAAUGUGCUGUUCAUGUCACGGAGAAAUGAGACAGGAAUGAAUCAGCCGUUUUUUUUUUUAACCUAACAGUCUGCGAGAUUUUGCCCCCCGGACAGACUUUGAGAGCUGGCUGUUAAAAGUACAUGAGGUGGACUCAAUAACACAAAUAAAACAUCACAAAAACCUCUUUAAAGUUUACUCCCAAAUAAAUUAGUUGCACUCUGCAGGUUCAGGAUAAGUAUGUGUGAAUACAACCAUAAAAUAUUGACUGUUGCUAUUAAUUAUUGCUAAACUGGUAUUAAAAUAUCAAUGACACGGAGUGUGCAUUGAGUGCUGAUGAUAUCCCAUUUGUUUUGCUUUAUCGCACACACACACACACACACACACACACACACAGACACACAAGUUCAAGUUUUUUGAUGAAAGCUCUAAAUAAAGGAGAAGUUUGCAUCUGAAAUUUUGUUCUUUUCAGUUUUCUGUUCGGUGAGGAUUUAAACUUCGUCCGUCUAAUUUUGAUGUCCUCAAAGUCAACUCAUAACUCUAUCAAAAAAUCAUUCAAACUCUCGGGAAACAACUUUUGAAAUACCGUCGACACUUCACCUUGUUGGAGUGAAUAGCAAACUCACAUUAGUAUCAAUUUGCUGUCAUGUUUAAUGAAAAUAAUCCAAUAUUUGGUCUGUUUUUAACUGAAGUUGAGUCUUUAUGCCCCUUAGAGAAGUAGCUGAGUCAUCCGCUGCCAAAGGUUUCAUCAGCUAGCGAGCUAACUGCUGCUCAUUUCGAGUUGAAAUAAGAAACUAAUAAAGCACUCGCAGAGCGCAGACCUCCGCCAAGCAGCUCAUAUCCCCCCUUAUAUUGUGAUUCACAACAAAACUUUUACUGUUACGUGUCUUUUAUUAACUUUUAUUCGUGUUUAAACUGGUAUGUUCACUGUUCAAGAAAUGCCCUGGCUGGGAUUCGAACCCAGGACCUUCUGGUUGUGAUUCGACAGUGCUAACCACUACACCACUGUACCGCCUAUCUACACCACUGUGCCGCCCAUUGGUUAUCUUUCAGCAUUGAAAAUUCCAACGACACCCCUAUUUUUCUGUGUUCUGGAUCACAGUAUCCAGAAUUUUGUCUGGAUCAGGAUCAACCUUUGACACCUCAUAAAACUCAUUGAGAUCCUUUUGUGUCAUUUUUUUAUGAAAGACGCUGGCCAUUUUUUUUAGAGUUAAAUGCAAAAAUUCCAAAAUUUGCCCUAUCUCACAAUGAUAAAGAAUCCUUCAAAAAAUUCCUGGAUCCAGAAGGUGAUCCGGAUCACCACCAAAAUGUAAUGGGAUCCUCCUGGGGCUGAGACGCACCUCUGAUGAAAAUUUCAGGUCAAUCUGUCUGUAACUUUCUCUGUAAAGUUGCUAACAAACAAACAAACAAACCAACGCUACCGAAAACAUAACCUCCUUGGCAGAGGUAAUGAUGCUACAUAAGCAUAACUGUCACUUCAUACCAAAAGCCUCAUGUUCUCAUCUCCUAAACGCUCCUCUGUGGUCACGAGCUAGUCGCUAACUUAACGAUAGUUUGAACUGAACUCAAGCUGUCAUGAUGAUAAAUGCUACGGCGCUAAACAAAGGAGCAAAUCUGUGCAUCAUAAAGCCAAAACAAUGAGCUGUGAGAUUCUAAGCAGCUCUCUAUAGCUGAGACGAACAACAGCGCCGGGGGGAUAAAUCUGUUAGACACAACCAGAAACUCCUUCCACAUUACACAAAGCCAAUUGCCUGGUUGUUAAUAUAAAAAUAUUGAUCGGUGCAGCUUUAAAGAUUUUGUUUGUGUGUGUGGUGGUUUCCUAACUAAUGCUUGGUGAGAGCAACAUAACUCCAGUCCUUGUCAAUAUUCUUAGUCGAUUCACUUGUUACUACAUUAUGAUGGAUAGGUUUAUAAAACAGCAGCGGAUGAGGCUGUGUUGUUUGAGUGCUGUUGCAUUGAAUGCUUUUUAAGUCUGUCACCAGUUUGUUCGGUGUGUGUCUCCGCGUGUGUAAGUAAGAGAAUGAGACAGUUCUUGAACAUAUUGACUUUGGGGCACUGCAGUGGCUUAGCUGUGAAUCACUUAACCAUGACAUCCUUGGUUUGCUUCUUGCUGCACUAGGACCCUCUUCUGAGUUUAUCUCCCCCUCUCUCUCUCUCUUUCUCUCUUUACAUUUCUCAGUACUGUAUGGAAUAAUAAAAAGGAAAAUGCUGCAAAAAGGACUAUGAAAAAAAUUUAACUUAAAAGUUUGCUUUAGGGCUUUUGAAUACAUUUACGCACCUAAAAAACAAGCGUGAAGCCAACAAUGGUGUUGUAGUCCCAAUUAAUUGAAUUCUUCUGAACAUUUGCUGAAUAUUAACAAAGUGAGUCAAGCUUUAAUUGAGAGCCACUUUUUUUUUUUGGCGCAUUGAGUCUACAUUUUACCGCCUGCCCUCAAUCUACUCCUGUUAUUCCACUCCAGGCCAGCUGGUGGCAGCAGUGAGCUUCUCAGUUAGUUUGUGUAUUGUUAAAAAAUACAGUUUACCUGGUAAAAAAAGGCAGUUUUUGUUUAAUUACAACCAUAGACUGUGUAUACUUUGGACAACUUGGUUCCGCCUCCCACCUGAUUUGACGCCAAAAAGCUCUCGGUAAUUCUGCGUUUUUUUCGUCAUUUCCUGAAACCAACAUUGCGCAGUAGCGUUGUACGAUUCGGCAGGAGAGUCACCGCGAGUUGCUGUGAUGACGCUCGGCUCAAAUAGCGUAUCCCCCGGGUGAGCUACGCAAUCCCUGAACGCCAAUAGGCUGUAUCAGGUGUCAAUAAUAGAAAACAUGAACCCCCUAAUAACUUUUAAAAACGGAGCUGCACAGAAAAAAAAGGGGGACUUGAGCACAAACCAGUGUCACUGUAAAUACAUGUCAACAUCACAAGCAGGGGGAGAAAGAUUUAUGUUCUAUGUAAUAGAUUUUUAAAGUUUGUCCACAGCCCCAUAAGCUUUGCUGGCGGAGGCGGGAUCUAUGACCUAUACUGCAGCCUGGCAACUGAGGGUGCUGUUCUUGGAGUGGCUUCACCCAGCGAGGAGGCAGACGGCGUCCAUUCUAUAUACAGUCUAUGGCUGUGUCCGAAAUUAAGCACUCAAUCCCUAACCCCUAACCUCCAUAUGGGGUUUUACUAUAUAGCUGACUAUGUAGUGAGCUCAAUCACCAGAGGUUUCGGACACUACAUGGCAUGACGCAAUGCAAUGAUGGUCGUUACAUUUUGCAAUGCUCUAUGGGAAAUUUUAAGUCGCCUAUACGGGGCGUUGGAAUUGAUCACUCAGGUUUUGGACACCCUUCAAAAUGGCACUAAUGGAUCAAUUUCGGACACAGCCUAUGAUUACAACCCUCAGCUCAAUCUACUCCUGUUAUUCCACUCCGGGCCAGCUAGUGGCAGCAGUGCGCUUCUCAGCUAGUUCGUCUAUUACUGUUAAAGACAGUAACUGUUUGCCUGGCAGAAAAGGUAGUUUUGGUUUAAUUACAACCUUCAACUCAAUCCACUGCCCCAUCUCUCUUAAUGAAUGCCCGUAAAAUAAACUUUAAAUAUUAGACAGAAACAAAAGAAAAUGGAAAAUGGGUGAACUCUAAGAUCUGGGCUGAGAUCCAUACGCCUCCAAAAAGGUCGCUAAAGCAUUAAAAGCUUUCUUAAGAGCUUACAUUACACUGAACUGCAGGAAAUGGACUAACAAAGUAUUGAUUUUCAUGCUAUUGUUUCGAGCAUCUCAUCACAAAAGGCCCCCCACCCCACCCCACCCCCAAACCCCCGGAAAGAUGUUUUCAAGCUGCUGCUCAGUCUCUCAUAAAGGGUCAACUUUAUAUUUGUGGCUGGCUGGAUUUAGAUGUCUGAUGCCAUCGCUCAGCUGAUGAAAAAGUUAAGCGACUUCCCAGAAUUCGCCUCGGUGCACAGGACCCAUAAAUCACGGUUACGCCCCUGCACCCAGACACAUAAACACAAUCAAACUCCCAGCAUUCAGAGCUGCACUUGGAGGGGAAAGAGGAGAUAUUCUGGGUUAUCUCUGCGAACGGGUGCCUUCCCCUGGCUCCCACUCCACUCGUCUUCCCCCGCCAGAUAAACAUGUUGUUCCAAACACUGGUUCAACACACGGCGAAGGGCGGAGAUUAAGGCAGACUUAAGUUUAUCAUAAAUGAAGAGCAAAGUCGACAGUUGUGUGGCCCACUGCAUCUCAAUGCUAAAACCAGCAGCUGGGGUUGUUUAAGGAGGUGAUGUGGAGCUGUGCUGCAGCAGCCACCAGGCAUUCCACUGCUGAGGUAGGCUCUAAUCCUCCGCUCCUGGCUCGCUCCUGACAGGGGAGGAAGCAAGUCGAAGCAGCGGGGAGACAGGCUCACAAAUCAGAAUUUAUGGUGCGAUCAACAAUGUCUUAUAGUUGUUUCAGAGAGACACUGAUCCUGAGGCUUUGUGGCUGCUGUUGUAGCUCUCAAUCCAGCGAAUAAUCCUUGUAUACUGAAUAAUAAAAAGGUGGAAAAUUGGAUAAGAAAAUCAAUAUCCGACUGCAAGUCUGACAUUUGUAGCAAAAAGCAUCUGUAGUUAAUCAUUUACUCUUGUUUUUUUAUUGCUUUCAGGGGUGCACGAUCAGCAGGUUAUCUACAUUUCCAGCCCCGGCCUCUCAUCUUCUGAAUGGUGCAAGGAACCAAACAGGAACGGCGUCCUCUUGCAGCACAAAUCUCACCACCGGCUCGGGUAUGUGGAGACUUAAAAACCCACUGAAAAUCUGCU
RNAcentral lists this long non-coding RNA (20666 nucleotides) under Xyrichtys novacula (pearly razorfish). The record is from RNAcentral. Lineage: Eukaryota; Metazoa; Chordata; Actinopteri; Labriformes; Labridae.